GUGCCAGCAGCCGCGGUAAUACGAAGGGGGCUAGCGUUGCUCGGAAUUACUGGGCGUAAAGGGCGCGUAGGCGGAUGUUUAAGUCGGGGGUGAAAGCCCGGGGCUCAACCUCGGAAUUGCCUUCGAUACUGGACAUCUUGAGUACGGGAGAGGUGAGUGGAACUCCGAGUGUAGAGGUGAAAUUCGUAGAUAUUCGGAAGAACACCAGUGGCGAAGGCGACUCACUGGCCCGUUACUGACGCUGAGGCGCGAAAGCGUGGGGAGCAAACAGGAUUAGAUACCCUGGUAGUCC
RNAcentral lists this ribosomal RNA (292 nucleotides) under uncultured bacterium. RNAcentral's name for it is "partial 16S ribosomal RNA". It matches the Rfam family "Bacterial small subunit ribosomal RNA", at positions 505 to 796 of the family's 1533-position model. The record is from RNAcentral.